CUACGGGUGGCUGCAGUGGGGAAUAUUGCACAAUGGGCGCAAGCCUGAUGCAGCAACGCCGCGUGAGGGAUGAAGGCCUUCGGGUUGUAAACCUCUUUUAGCAGGGAAGAAGCGAAAGUGACGGUACCUGCAGAAAAAGCACCGGCUAACUACGUGCCAGGCAGCCGCGGUAAUACGUAGGGUGCAAGCGUUGUCCGGAAUUAUUGGGCGUAAAGAGCUCGUAGGCGGUUUGUCACGUCUGCUGUGAAAAUCCAAGGCUCAACCUUGGACUUGCAGUGGGUACGGGCAGGCUAGAGUGCGGUAGGGGAGAUGGGAAUUCCUGGUGUAGCGGUGGAAUGCGCAGAUAUCAGGAGGAACACCAAUGGCGAAGGCACAUCUCUGGGCCGUAACUGACGCUGAGGAGCGAAAGCGUGGGGAGCGAACAGGAUUAGAUACCCCGGUAGUC
This 445-nucleotide ribosomal RNA is filed under the name uncultured bacterium. RNAcentral describes it as "partial 16S ribosomal RNA". It matches the Rfam family "Bacterial small subunit ribosomal RNA", at positions 339 to 795 of the family's 1533-position model. The record is from RNAcentral.